Molecule: long non-coding RNA, 205 nt
Filed under: Elaeis guineensis (African oil palm)
Lineage: Eukaryota; Viridiplantae; Streptophyta; Magnoliopsida; Arecales; Arecaceae
Description: long non-coding RNA (EGUI_LNC072197)
Source: RNAcentral
GCCAUUUGCUUAAUAGUUUUAUGUUUCCACUACAGUUAAUACCUUAAAAUAGUAUAUUUAUAAUAAUAACAUGCCAUAACUACCAUAUGUUUAAUAUAUUUCUUCAAAACUGUACCAUUCCAUUAGAUUCUCCUCUUUUUUAAAUACUUAUCCAUUUAAAAUAAUUUUAGAACAAAUCAACUAAACCGAUCACACAAAGAACAUC